Molecule: long non-coding RNA, 1885 nt
Filed under: Lactuca sativa (garden lettuce)
Lineage: Eukaryota; Viridiplantae; Streptophyta; Magnoliopsida; Asterales; Asteraceae
Description: long non-coding RNA (LSAT_LNC003267)
Source: RNAcentral
UCGAUUCCACCACCAUUCUUUACUUUUGCUUUCCUUACUUAUGCCCACCGUUUCAAUUUGGUCAUGGCAACCACUUCUUUCAUCGUUACCGGAGCCCCGUUUUGGAAAUCGCGGCGGAGGUGGCGCCGGCUAGACCAACGGAGACGCUACGGCUGGCGAACGGUUGGGAAUCGUUUUCGAAUGGUGCAGUGGAGUCGGACACGGUUCAGUUGUCCCUUCUGUUUCUUAUCUCACGACUGCAGCUAUGAGAUGUUGCUAACCCAUCAUGACCCACCGAUCGGUCUCUUUAUCGGUUGGUCAUCGACUAAAAUCUUUGUUCGGCUUCCCCAUCUUCUCUUACCUAUUCUGGCUGCUUCCAACCGUCUGUAAAUCGAUUUCAGCCUCCGAUUUCACAACUUUGUUUUGGAUUUGAUUUUAGGAAUGUUUUUAGGAUUUUGAAAUCGCCAGCGUUGGUGGGUAGUGCACAGCUCACCACCUCCCUUCUUCCAAUUAGAUGCUCUUCUGCUGCUCACAGCUUGCUUUUUUGUUUCACAAAUCAUCAAUUUCACAUGGUCCAGGUUCGAUUUUCCUUUCAUUCUAUGCUCAAUUUGGCUUUUGUUUUUGAAAAAUCUGACCUUUGAAGCCCUAAUUCGCACUUCAAAACCGAUCAAAUAAUUCUUACUUUGAAAUAGGCAGAUUUAUGCCGCUGCUCCGAUGGCGUCGAAGACGGCCAUUUGAAGACUAAAGAACGCUAGUUGUCACACAUAUCUAUUUUUAUUUGAAGUAGAGGCUUUGGAUUGAAUAUUAGUCUUUUGCUUUCUCAUUGGUUGGCAUUUCUUUUCUUUAUAGGAUAAACAAAUAUCGUCUGAUUAGGGAGGAGCAAAGGCGGGAGGCUGAGUCUGAACCCUAAUUUGAUUCUCCGAUUUCAAAGUAAUUAGUUCAGUUUGGAGGUCAGAACUUAUCUUUGUAUUCUUUGCUUUUUGGGUUUUAUUUAUUAAUAUUCCCUUUCAGUUUGUCACCUGUUUAGGCAUAAGUAUAUGAAAUAGAGCUGCUGUUAUUGAUGGCGACCAUCAAAAACUUUAGAUGUUUACUAACAAGGAGUUUUAGAGUUUAUCACCUGGUUUUAUUUAUUAAUUUCAUAUGAAUAUAUUCUAAUAAUGGUGUUCAAAACAGAGUACAACCAUUGCAUUAUUGGAUAUUUGGAACAAGGAUCGUUUUGUAUGUCAAUAAUAUUGCUAUGAUUAAGUAAAAUUAUCAAAGUGAAAUGCUGCAAAAACUUAACUUUCGUUUAAUGAAAUCUGAUCUUUUGUUGCAAUUGUUGUCUUGUGAGUAGCCCAACAUCUAAUAAAAGGAGUUUUGAAGCUGAUUAGUAUUGAAAGUUUGACAAUUUAUCAUGUGAAAAGCCAUUUACAGGUAUGUAUUAUAAGCAAUUUAUUGGUUACCCACUUAAUAUGGUAAUAAAUAAUUGUUUAAACAAUUUUUUUGUUCUCUUCUUGCAGUUUAAGGGUGUGUACGGGUGCUUAUGAUGAUGAGAUGAUAAGAGCAUGGGUAGAAUGGGACAAAAAAAAAUUCAGAAAAUGAUCAUCAUUCAGAGUUUUCUGAAAAUGUCAUUUUUAAUUUAUUUCUUCAUUCUGUUUAUGUAGGUGUGGAGAUGUCUUUUUUUAAUACUUUUUUGAUAUCAUUUAUCUGUAAAACAUUUUAUCUAUGACAACACAAAAAAAUGGAAUAAAAAAGAAACAGGGUUUAAGUGAUUUUUUUUUCCGAAAUACAAAACAACAAUUUUUGGUUUUCAGGUGAAGAUAUUCUAUUUCUGGAUCUAUCAUUGGACCCUGGACUCUUUGAAGGCCCGAAAGGAGUUGAACAGGUGGACCCUGGACUCUUUGAAGGCCCGAAAGGAGUUGAACAG